RNAcentral lists this ribosomal RNA (256 nucleotides) under uncultured bacterium. RNAcentral describes it as "partial 16S ribosomal RNA". It matches the Rfam family "Bacterial small subunit ribosomal RNA", at positions 524 to 776 of the family's 1533-position model. The record is from RNAcentral.
UACGGGGGGGGGCGAGCGUUGUCCGAAGUUACUGGGCGUAAAGCGCGUGUAGGCGGGUUGCUAAGUCCGGCUGUGAAAGCCCGGUGCUCAACGCCGGAGGGUCGGUGGAUACUGGCAGUCGUUGAAGUGGCUAGGGGAAAUGGAAUUACCGGUGUAGCGGUGAAAUGCGUAGAUAUCAGGAGGAACACCAAUAGCGAAGGCAGCUCGCUGGGACGUUACUGACACUGAGGCGACGAAAGCGUGGGGAGCGAACAGG